Molecule: long non-coding RNA, 398 nt
Organism: Chelonia mydas (Green sea turtle)
Lineage: Eukaryota; Metazoa; Chordata; Testudines; Cheloniidae
Exons: 4
Source: RefSeq, a predicted model, not a curated record
AUGCUGGGGAACCUGCUGGCAGAGUCCCCAGACACAGACAGGCUCCACUUCAUCUUGGAGCAUGUCAACUUGUGGGUCGUGUCCAGGGUGUCGCAGGAGCGAGCCAGGGCUAUCAGGAGCAGCACAGCCCUGCUGAGAUACACAGUCACCCUCCCUGAGUUUGACAUCUCAGCCGAGUUCCCUAGGAUCGGUCACCAUGUGGCCCAGCUGGCUCUGUUUGUCAGCGAGCCAGACAAGGACAUCAGCCGGCAGGCCAGGGAGGGGACUUACCGGCUCUACCAACUGCUGCUCCAACAGAGGGGCCUGACCAUACAUGACGCGGAAGAUCUCUGGUGCUAUGACUGGCACCAGGACAGAAGGCUCUUGGGUUACAAGAAUACAGCCAGAGUGGGGGAGGU